AUUGAACGCUGGCGGCAUGCUUUACACAUGCAAGUCGAACGGCAGCGCGGGCUUCGGCCUGGCGGCGAGUGGCGAACGGGUGAGUAAUGCAUCGGAACGUGCCCAGUAGUGGGGGAUAGCCCGGCGAAAGCCGGAUUAAUACCGCAUACGACCUGAGGGUGAAAGCGGGGGACCGAAAGGCCUCGCGCUAUUGGAGCGGCCGAUGUCGGAUUAGCUAGUUGGUGGGGUAAAGGCUUACCAAGGCGACGAUCCGUAGCUGGUCUGAGAGGACGACCAGCCACACUGGGACUGAGACACGGCCCAGACUCCUACGGGAGGCAGCAGUGGGGAAUUUUGGACAAUGGGGGCAACCCUGAUCCAGCCAUGCCGCGUGCGGGAAGAAGGCCUUCGGGUUGUAAACCGCUUUUGUUCGGGAAGAAAUCCUCUGGGCUAAUACCCCGAGGGGAUGACGGUACCGGAAGAAUAAGCACCGGCUAACUACGUG
RNAcentral lists this ribosomal RNA (484 nucleotides) under uncultured bacterium. RNAcentral describes it as "partial 16S ribosomal RNA". It matches the Rfam family "Bacterial small subunit ribosomal RNA", at positions 29 to 507 of the family's 1533-position model. The record is from RNAcentral.